GAUGAACGCUGGCGGCGUGCCUAAUACAUGCAAGUCGAGCGAAGGGACGAGAAGCUUGCUUGUGUGAUGUUAGCGGCGGACGGGGGAGGAGCAAGUGGAGAACCUACCUAUACGACUGGGAUGACUUCGGGAUACCGGAGUGGCUAACGGGUGAUAUUUUGGACCGCAUGGAUGAAGGUGAUGGACGGUCUUGCGGUCACUUGGAGAUGGAGCCGCGCGGCUUUAGCAAGUUGGUAAGGUAACGGCUUACCAAGGCAACGAUGCCUAGCCGCCCUGAGAGGGUGAUCGGCGACACUGGUACUGCUACACGGUCCAGCAUACUACUAGAGGCAGCAGUAGGGAAUCUUCCUCAAUGGUCGAAAGACUGCCGGUGCAACGCCGCGUGGGUGAUGAUGGUCUCCUGCGCGUAAAACUCUUCUAUCACGGAAGAACCAAUCUGUCAUCAUCUGUGCACGUCUUGACGGUACCUAAUCAGAAAGCCCCGGCUAACUACGUG
RNAcentral lists this ribosomal RNA (496 nucleotides) under uncultured bacterium. RNAcentral's name for it is "partial 16S ribosomal RNA". It matches the Rfam family "Bacterial small subunit ribosomal RNA", at positions 28 to 507 of the family's 1533-position model. The record is from RNAcentral.